AUGAUCACGAAAGGGAAACGUUUGGAGCGAAUUCAGGACGCUGAGGCAGCCACAACAGUGCACCUGAAGACACUCAGGAAAGAGGACUCCAGAACUGCUUCGGAAAGUGGCAGGAGUGGUGAGAUCUCGUGGCAUAAAGAGCACCUGCUGCUUGGAAGCCCUUGCUUUGGAAGAUGCAGCUGCUCCGUGCGUUCCUGGUUGUGCUCCCUCUGGGUGCCAGGGUCAGGGCUGAGUGUCCUGGAAGAUGUAGCUGUGAGUCCCCACAGUCGUUACAAUGCUGCAGACUCACAGAGGGGCCAGCGGGCAUCCCUGCCACCACCACAAGGCUCUACAUCAGCCACAGCAAGAUCCAGCACCUCCAGGUAACUGGGCUCUUCGCUACUCUGGCCCUGCGGUUUGGUUUUGUGAGACAGGUUGUGGGCAAGUGACUUAAAUGAUCAUAACUUAAAAGAGCUGUUAGCAGCCCGGCAGCCCUGCCACCUGCUUGUUCGCUGUGUGCUACUGGCGUAGUGUAGGCCUCCUGAGUUUCUUUUUAGGGAAGUACCCCCAUGUGAGAAUCUACAGUUAAUGAUUUUUAUCUCAACUCCUGUUUUUAAAACUGUUGUUGCAAAGUAAAAGAAGAUCUCUUUCUUAACAACAAAUCAGAAAGCCCACAUUGCCAUUUUAUGUCCCCAGUACUAGGAAUAAGUUCUCUCACGGGGAAAAAAAAGCUCUAUUUUAUGCCAUAAUGGCAGAUGAUAAAGCAUCGUAAGGCCAUCAAGAUGAACCUACUUGUUUCACACAAAUGCGCAGACCAGACAGGUAUCGCUGUCUCUUUGGAAACUGACAUAGAGGAAAUGCGUGGGAUUUUUCUGUGGUGCAGAUUACUGAAAAUUAUCACUUUAUGUGCUUUGAAUUCUGACUUUUUAUUUUCAUGCUCACCUAUUCUGAGG
Molecule: long non-coding RNA, 932 nt
Filed under: Fukomys damarensis (Damara mole-rat)
Lineage: Eukaryota; Metazoa; Chordata; Mammalia; Rodentia; Bathyergidae
Description: lncRNA (ENSFDAG00000031775.1)
Source: RNAcentral